CAGCGAGGGGGGAGUGACAUGUUUCGGAGAACUUGCACGCCCAGGCUGCUCGCGUGCACUUCAGCGCUGCUGAAGCGCAGUGGCAAGCCAGGCGACUUGCCUGACUACAAGCAAGUCUAUCUACCGUACGACACGGCGCCGACGAAGAUGGAGCUUGACAGAGAGCGGCGGAAGUUCAUGCACGCGUACUCUGGUCGCAUGGAGCACCGGAAGAUGGUAGAGGUGAAGGAUGUGCCGCAGAACAUGUACACAUACGGCAAAGAGGGCAUGUCCGUUCCCAUCUCUAUCUUCAAGGAUCAAGCGGACCCUGUCAUCGGUCCCGAGUGGACCUAUCCGGGCAUUUUCGAGAACAAAAUCGUGGCACAGCAAUGGUACAUGGAAGAGCUCUUUGACCGCGAAAAGAGCAACACGUUCGAGUCACCGUGGCAGCGGCAGGUGCUGGACAACCAAGUGAAACGCCGCCUCGGUAAGGUUGCUUGGCGAAUGUCGAUGCUUAACAUAAAGACCAUCGACAUUUUCCAUAAGGAGCGGGGCGCGUCAAAAAGACCGGGCGCAGGGGAUACGAAGGCCCCAGCAACGCCGGCAGGAAAGAAGUAGUGGGCCGCCGCUCCUCUUUUUCGUCAUUUUGGGGGAUGCGACGGAGCCGCACCACGCUUCGUUCACGCUCGGCCACGCCUCUGUGCACUCCACGGUGUCUUUUGUGUGUCAUGUGCAUAUGAAGGUGCAGAGAUGUUGACGUUGUACUGUCCUGUCACAGCUAUGUGUUUGUGUUUGUGUUACAGGGAGAAGCAGGAAGUCUCAUAACGGAUCUCUCGAUGCCCGCGGCUUCGGCCAGCUUUUCCACGCAUGUGCACGAGACAGCGGGCGCCCUCUGCUCCGGCAUUCACCUGCAUUGAUGAUGAAUGAAGUUGUGAAGCGCUGCUUUCUUCUCUCCCCCUCUCUGUAUCACACGCGUCUGUGCAUGCGUAAAGACUUGCAGCUGUGCGGAUGCCCUCCGUCAACACUGUCUACACACGCAAUAGCCUCAGUGUGCGGGCCACCAUCCUGCAUGUUCGCUGCACCACCAUCAUAGAAACGUAAUCAUCUCUCCUCUUCUCAUCCGCCCUUACUGACUUUCUCUUGCCCCCCCCCGCUCCUCCCCUCUCUCCAUCUCUCUCUGUCCCCGUGUCUCUGCGGAAG
This 1179-nucleotide unclassified non-coding RNA is filed under the name Leishmania donovani. RNAcentral's name for it is "gene:LdHU3.07.0110(CDS-product:hypothetical_prote in_conserved)". The record is from RNAcentral. Lineage: Eukaryota; Euglenozoa; Kinetoplastea; Trypanosomatida; Trypanosomatidae.